UAUCACCAAGGUAACAAUGAAAAUGAUGAUAAAUUAUUUCAAGUUGACGAUGAAGGCGAUGAAUUUGAAGAGGAUGACAUAGAUGACAAAUUUGAAGAGGACAACGUAGAUGCUAAAUAUGAAGAACACACACUUGAAUGAUUUAGAUGAUGAUGUUAGAUUAUGCUUUUUUGGACGAUGUUUUUUUACUAGGCAUGUACUUGAUUGAAGCAUCAAAAUUUCAACAAACUAUAUAUUUUGCUAGACUUAGUACUUUUAAGUAUUAAACUUUAUUUGAAUACUACCAUUUAUUUGUUUACUAUAUAUGUUACUAAUCUUAGACAAUUUGUUUAUUACCAUUUAUUUGAAUACAAC
Molecule: long non-coding RNA, 354 nt
Filed under: Cicer arietinum (chickpea)
Lineage: Eukaryota; Viridiplantae; Streptophyta; Magnoliopsida; Fabales; Fabaceae
Description: long non-coding RNA (CARI_LNC003563)
Source: RNAcentral